RNAcentral lists this ribosomal RNA (497 nucleotides) under uncultured bacterium. RNAcentral's name for it is "partial 16S ribosomal RNA". It matches the Rfam family "Bacterial small subunit ribosomal RNA", at positions 28 to 507 of the family's 1533-position model. The record is from RNAcentral.
GAUGAACGCUGGCGGCGUGCCUAAUACAUGCAAGUCGAGCGAACAGAUGAGGAGCUUGCUCCUCUGACGUUAGCGGCGGACGGGUGAGUAACACGUGGAUAACCUACCUAUAAGACUGGGAUAACUUCGGGAAACCGGAGCUAAUACCGGAUAAUAUAUUGAACCGCAUGGUUCAAUAGUGAAAGACGGUUUUGCUGUCACUUAUAGAUGGAUCCGCGCCGCAUUAGCUAGUCGGUAAGGUAACGGCUUACCAAGGCAACGAUGCGUAGACGACCUGAGAGGGUGAUCGGCCACACUGGAACUGAGACACGGUCCAGACUCCUACGGGAGGCAGCAGUAGGGAAUCUUCCGCAAUGGGCGAAAGCCUGACGGAGCAACGCCGCGUGAGUGAUGAAGGUCUUCGGAUCGUAAAACUCUGUUAUUAGGGAAGAACAAAUGUGUAAGUAACUAUGCACGUCUUGACGGUACCUAAUCAGAAAGCCACGGCUAACUACGUG